This 743-nucleotide ribosomal RNA is filed under the name uncultured bacterium. RNAcentral's name for it is "bacterial SSU rRNA". It matches the Rfam family "Bacterial small subunit ribosomal RNA", at positions 51 to 813 of the family's 1533-position model. The record is from RNAcentral.
ACACAUGCAGUCGACGACCCGGGCUUCGGCCCAAUGGGUGAGUGGCGAACGGGUGCGUAACACGUGAGAAACCUGCCCCGGAGAUCGGGAUAACCCAAGGAAACUCGGGCUAAUACCGAAUACCUUCUGACCACCGCAUGGUGGACUGAAGAAAUGUUCUGGCGCUCCGGGAGGGUCUCGCGGCCUAUCAGCUUGUUGGUGAGGUAACGGCUCACCAAGGCAUCGACGGGUAGCUGGUCUGAGAGGACGAUCAGCCACACUGGGACUGAGACACGGCCCAGACUCCUACGGGAGGCAGCAGUGGGGAAUCUUGCGCAAUGGGCGAAAGCCUGACGCAGCAACGCCGCGUGAGGGAAGACGGCUCUCGGGUUGUAAACCUCUUUCAGCAGGGACGAAAUUGACGGUACCUGCAGAAGAAGCGCCGGCCAACUACGUGCCAGCAGCCGCGGUAACACGUAGGGCGCAAGCGUUGUCCGGAUUUAUUGGGCGUAAAGAGCUCGUAGGCGGUUUCGUAAGUCGGGUGUGAAAACUCAGGGCUCAACUCUGAGACGCCACUCGAUACUGCGAUGACUUGAGUCCGGUAGGGGAGCAGGGAAUUCCUGGUGUAGCGGUGAAAUGCGCAGAUAUCAGGAGGAACACCAUUAGCGAAGGCGCUGCUCUGGGCCGGUACUGACGCUGAGGAGCGAAAGCAUGGGGAGCGAACAGGAUUAGAUACCCUGGUAGUCCAUGCCGUAAACGUUGGG